GACCCGGUGGCGGACGACCGCAUCUGCCCUCUGUACUUGUGGAAGCCGGCCAAUUACAUGCAGAAGGUCCCCGUUCGACUCGGGGUCGGGUCG
Mycena galericulata is the source of this 93-nucleotide non-coding RNA. The record is from the annotation of a GenBank genome assembly. Lineage: Eukaryota; Fungi; Basidiomycota; Agaricomycetes; Agaricales; Mycenaceae.